Molecule: long non-coding RNA, 270 nt
Filed under: Vigna radiata
Lineage: Eukaryota; Viridiplantae; Streptophyta; Magnoliopsida; Fabales; Fabaceae
Description: long non-coding RNA (VRAD_LNC007815)
Source: RNAcentral
ACAUUCUUUGUCUUACUUCCACAUUUCAAUAUGCGGAGAGCGACAUUUGGGAAAUGUCAAUAGCAAUGAACAUACUAGAUGAUGUUACUAAAUAACCUGAUGAUGUUACUAAACAACAAUAAGCAAACUAAUUGCAGCAGACGAGGUGAUUUACAUCCUCAACCUAGAUGAAAGAAUAUAAUGUCGACUUCUUUAUGCGACAUGUGUUGCCACCUAAAAUCAUGGUCUCAUGGUUCUUCGACGAAUUGAGGUGAACUUCAUGCAACCCCU